CCUACGGGAGGCAGCAGUGAGGAAUAUUGGUCAAUGGACGAGAGUCUGAACCAGCCAAGCCGCGUGAAGGAAGACUGCCCUAUGGGUUGUAAACUUCUUUUAUAUGGGAAUAAAACAGGAUAAGCAUACCCUCUUGUAUGUACCAUACGAAUAAGGAUCGGCUAACUCCGUGCCAGCAGCCGCGGUAAUACGGAGGAUCCGAGCGUUAUCCGGAUUUAUUGGGUUGAAAGGGUGCGUAGGUGGUGUGUUAAGUCAGAGGUGAAAGCCAGCGGCUCAACUGUGGCAUUGCAGCUGAAACUGGCAGUCUAGAGUACAGUAGAGGUAGGCGGAAUGCGUGGUGUAGCGGUGAAAUGCGUAGAUAUCACGAAGAACACCGAUUGCGAAGGCAGCUCACUGGACUGCAACUGACGCUGAGGCUCGAAAGUGUGGGUAGCAAACAGGAUUAGAUACCCCAGUAGUC
RNAcentral lists this ribosomal RNA (460 nucleotides) under uncultured bacterium. RNAcentral's name for it is "partial 16S ribosomal RNA". It matches the Rfam family "Bacterial small subunit ribosomal RNA", at positions 338 to 795 of the family's 1533-position model. The record is from RNAcentral.